Molecule: ribosomal RNA, 528 nt
Filed under: uncultured bacterium
Lineage: Bacteria
Description: bacterial SSU rRNA
Rfam family: Bacterial small subunit ribosomal RNA
Source: RNAcentral
GAUGAACGCUGGCGGCGUGCUUAGUACAUGCAAGUCGAGCGAGGACCACCUGGUGGCAACACCGGGUGGCUCCUAGCGGCGAACGGGUGAGUAACACGUGGGCAACCUGCCCCCGACUCUGGGAUAAGCCCGGGAAACUGGGUCUAAUACCGGAUAUGAGCCUCCUCCGCAUGGUGGAGGUUGGAAAGGGUCUCCGGUCGGGGAUGGGCCCGCGGCCUAUCAGCUUGUUGGUGGGGUAACGGCCCACCAAGGCGACGACGGGUAGCCGGCCUGAGAGGGUGAACGGCCACACUGGGACUGAGACACGGCCCAGACUCCUACGGGAGGCAGCAGUAGGGAAUCUCGCGCAAUGGGCGAAAGCCUGACGCAGCGACGCCGCGUGCGGGACGAAGGCCCUCGGGUUGUAAACCGCUUUCAGCAGGGACGAAGCGAAAGUGACGGUACCUGCAGAAGAAGGUCCGGCCAACUACGUGCCAGCAGCCGCGGUAAUACGUAGGGACCGAGCGUUGUCCGGNUUCAUUGGGCGGU